RNAcentral lists this ribosomal RNA (253 nucleotides) under uncultured bacterium. RNAcentral describes it as "partial 16S ribosomal RNA". It matches the Rfam family "Bacterial small subunit ribosomal RNA", at positions 524 to 776 of the family's 1533-position model. The record is from RNAcentral.
UACAGAGGGGGCAAGCGUUGUUCGGAAUUACUGGGCGUAAAGGGCGCGUAGGCGGCCUGCUAAGUCGAACGUGAAAUCCCUGGGCUCAACCCAGGAACUGCGUCCGAUACUGGUUGGCUUGAAUCCGGGAGAGGGAUGCGGAAUUCCAGGUGUAGCGGUGAAAUGCGUAGAUAUCUGGAGGAACACCCGUGGCGAAGGCGGCUCUCUGGGACGGUACUGACGCUGAGACGCGAAAGCGUGGGGAGCGAACAGG